This 349-nucleotide ribosomal RNA is filed under the name uncultured bacterium. Its description in RNAcentral is "bacterial SSU rRNA". It matches the Rfam family "Bacterial small subunit ribosomal RNA", at positions 917 to 1267 of the family's 1533-position model. The record is from RNAcentral.
GGGCCCGCACAAGCGGCGGAGCAUGCGGAUUAAUUCGAUGCAACGCGAAGAACCUUACCUGGUCUUGACAUCCUGCGAACUUUCUAGAGAUAGAUUGGUGCCUUCGGGAACGCAGUGACAGGUGCUGCAUGGCUGUCGUCAGCUCGUGUCGUGAGAUGUUGGGUUAAGUCCCGUAACGAGCGCAACCCUUGUCCUUAUUUGCCAUCAUUUAGUUGGGCACUCUAGGGAGACUGCCGGUGACAAACCGGAGGAAGUGGGGGACGACGUCAAGUCAUCAUGGCCCUUACGACCAGGGCUACACACGUGCUACAAUGGGGCGUACAAAGGGUUGCAAUCCCGCGAGGGGGAG